Long non-coding RNA from Anthonomus grandis grandis, 1050 nucleotides. RefSeq lists it as uncharacterized. The transcript has 4 exons. The record is from RefSeq and is a predicted model, not a curated record. Lineage: Eukaryota; Metazoa; Arthropoda; Insecta; Coleoptera; Curculionidae.
UUUGCUUGAAGUUUACAUUUUUUACAUUUUUCCUAUUUUCAUUUUCAUUUUUAUUAGUUUUGGGUCUUUUAAAAAUUUAAAUUGUAAUGUAAUCAGCCUAAUAUUACAUUUUACUUGUUGACAAUUUAGUUAAAAUGUAGUAGUAUGUUUUUCGUGAAAAACUGGUAAAACUCUUCAAGAAAAAUCUAAAGGACAUAAAAGCUAUUGAAAACUUAAGAGCCCUAUACUUUUUGGACCAGAUCCGUAUACAGGGUGAAUCAUUAUGAGCGAAUAAAACUCCAUUAAAAGUACCGAAAAAUGCGUUUUUCUUAACGAAGUCCAUUUUCCUCGAUUUUUUUCGUUAAACGUCACCAUAAGGAAAUGAUCCAAUAUGGCCGCCAACAGCAGUGGAAAUCACCCGGAAGCGUAUUUACCAAAGCGUAUUAUUUACCAACCCCAUCCUGACUCAGCGCACCCAGGCCGCCGAUCGGAGCCGAAUUCAUUCGCUCCAUACCCCAUCCCGUUUCAGCGCGCAUCUCCGAAACCCAUCCCGACUCAGCACACCGCCGCACCUGUUUAUGAAGAUGUCGCUUUGCGCGGGAAAAACACUAACUUAAUAUUAUUGUUUUGGUUCAUUAUUUGCUUGAAGCAACACGUGGCGCUGUAUUUAUUGCUGUUCGUCAUUUAUUUAUUAAUAUUUUAUAUCUUGAAAAUGAAAGAAAUUUUGGGGUUUGAUAGUGGUUGCGUGGUUGUAAAACUGGAGAACGUAGGUGGAUCGAGAGAGAAAUUUACGGCCAAUUUAAGGACCAUUUUUAAAGACAAUUUCUCCACUAUGGCCGAUGAAUGGAUAGCCCAGUUCUCAGAAACAAGUCAUUCCAACUGGGUUGUUUGGAAAUUCUUCAUCCGAGUCGCAUCUUAUACAAAAAAAUAUUUAAAUGUUAACAUAAUGCCGUUAAUAAAGCAAAAAAUGUAAAGAAGUGUCGAAAAAGAAAUCUUGAGUGUUCUGCAUCAGUAACUUUUAUUGUUAAAAAAAUUACCAAAGACACUAUUAAAAAUGACUGCUACCUUAAG